UUUAUCGGAGAGUUUGAUCCUGGCUCAGGACGAACGCUGGCGGCGUGCCUAAUACAUGCAAGUCGAGCGGACAGAUGGGAGCUUGCUCCCUGAUGUUAGCGGCGGACGGGUGAGUAACACGUGGGUAACCUGCCUGUAAGACUGGGAUAACUCCGGGAAACCGGGGCUAAUACCGGAUGGUUGUUUGAACCGCAUGGUUCAAACAUAAAAGGUGGCUUCGGCUACCACUUGCAGAUGGACCCGCGGCGCAUUAGCUAGUUGGUGAGGUAACGGCUCACCAAGGCGACGAUGCGUAGCCGACCUGAGAGGGUGAUCGGCCACACUGGGACUGAGACACGGCCCAGACUCCUACGGGAGGCAGCAGUAGGGAAUCUUCCGCAAUGGACGAAAGUCUGACGGAGCAACGCCGCGUGAGUG
RNAcentral lists this ribosomal RNA (417 nucleotides) under Bacillus sp. Ru63. Its description in RNAcentral is "bacterial SSU rRNA". It matches the Rfam family "Bacterial small subunit ribosomal RNA", at positions 1 to 407 of the family's 1533-position model. Lineage: Bacteria; Bacillati; Bacillota; Bacilli; Caryophanales; Bacillaceae. The record is from RNAcentral.